RNAcentral lists this ribosomal RNA (147 nucleotides) under uncultured euryarchaeote. RNAcentral's name for it is "partial 16S ribosomal RNA". It matches the Rfam family "Archaeal small subunit ribosomal RNA", at positions 325 to 473 of the family's 1478-position model. Lineage: Archaea; Methanobacteriati; Methanobacteriota. The record is from RNAcentral.
ACGGGGGGCAGCAGGCGCGAAAACUGUAGCAUGGGGGAAACCACGAUGCGGGAAACCCAAGUGCCAGCACUAUGUGUUGGCUGUCCUCGACUGUUUGUAGGUCGGGAAGAAAGUGCUGGGUAAGACGGGUGCCAGCAGCCGCGGUAA